UUCUUGAAAUUUGGGUCAUUGUCUGUUUGUUUGUUUUUAAAUAGAGAUGGUGUCCCAAUGUGUUGCCAUGGCUGACCUUGAACUCCUGAACUCCAGUGAUCUUCCCGCCUUGGCCUCUCAAAGUGGUGGGAUUUGAAGCAUGAGCCACCAUGCCCAGCCUACUUCUUGAAAUUUGGUCUCCAACCAUGACAAAAAACUGGCCAUUGCCUAAUCAGUGUUUUCUAGUAUCUUGUCAAAACUCGAAGGCCAGUAAGCAAGUUUUUCAGAAUUUGUCUCCUGCUGACAUUUUGUGUCAGUUUUUUCCUGGAACACAGUGUACCCUUUGGAUGUUCCAAGGGAGGAGAUCAAGGCACCGUUAAGGUUGAACUGUGUCCCCCAAAAGAGAUGUUGAAAUUCUAUACCAAGUAUCUCAUAAUGUGACCUGAUUUAGAAACAGGGUGCUUGCAGGUACAAUCAAGUCAAGAUGAGGCAAUACUGGAUUAAGAUGAGCCCUAAUCCAGAGACUGUUGUCAUAAGGAGAGAAAAUUUGGACACAGAGACACAGACACAUGGGAAGAACACUAUGUAGUAAAGGAGGCAGAGACUGGAGUCAGGCGUCCAUAAAACAAAAAAAUGCCAAGGAUUGCCAACAACUACCAGAAACUAGGAAGAAUCAAGGAAGGAUUUUCCUGCUCUCCCAGCUCUCCAUCAAAUGAGGGUACAGUGAGACAACUGCUGUCUGCAAACCAGGAAGAGUGCCCUCCCCAGACACCAAAUCUGCUGACACCUUCAUCCUGGACCUCUCAGCCUCCAAAACUGUGGGAAAUAAAUGUUGUUUAAAUCAAAAAGAAAAAACAUAAGUUUCUUCCCCUAGAACUUUCAGAGAGAGCAUGACACCUCAAUUUUGGACUUCUAACCUCCAGAACUGUGAAAGAACAAAUGUCUGAUGUUUAAAGACACCCAGGACCAGGCCUGGUGGCUCAUGCCUGAAAUCUGAGCACUUUUGAGGCUAAGAUGGGGGAAAUUGCUUGAGGCUUGGAGUUUAAGACCAGCCUGGGCAACAUAGAGAGACCCUGUCUCCAUUUAAAAAAAAAAUUUAAAAAUUAGAGGCCAAGGUGGGUGGAUCACUUGAGGUCAGGAGUUCAAGACCAGCUGGCCAACAUGGCAAAACCCCAUCUCUACCAAAAAAAUACAAAAAUUAGUUGGGUGAAGUGAUACGCACCUGUAGUCUCAGCUACUCAGAUAGCUGAGGCAGGAGAAUCAGUUGAACCCAGGAGGUGGAGGUUUCAGUAAGCGAAGAUCCCACCAGCCUGGGUGAAAGAGCUAGACUGUCUAAAAAGAAAAAAGAAAGGAAACACUGGGCUGGGCAAGGUGGUUGGAUCCCCUGAGGUCAGGAGUUUGAGACCAGACUGUCUAAAAAGAAAAAAUAAAAAAUAAUAAUAAUUUAAAAAUUAGCUUGGCAUGGUGGUAUGUGCCUGUAGUCCCAGCUUCUCAGGAGGCUGAGGUGGGUAGAUUGCUUGAGCCCAGGAGGUGGAGGCUGCAGUGAGCUGUGAUUAUGCCAGUGCACUUAAGUCUGGGUGACACAGUGAGACUCUUUCUCAGAAAAACAAAAAACAGAAAGCAUAAAGACACUUAGAAGGAAGGAGAGAAGCAGAGACACCCAGUUUGUGAUAAUUUGCUACAGAGUCUAGGAAUCUAAUACAGACACUUAGAAUUUAUGCUCUUGCCCUAUGGAGAUGUUUUAUAGUCAGAUAUGAAGUCAAUGAGCUUGAGAUCUGAAGAACUUCCUCUUUACCUUGCACCUCCUUGGCGGAGUUCUCACAGAACUGGCCUUCUGGGCCGCCUGCAUCCAGCCUGCCCCCCCACAGAUGCUGUCUGGCUCCUGUUGAGGGUCUCUAAUGUCUCAGAUGCCCAGCUUCACAAACCCUCCUAUACAGGCUGCUCGUAGCAUGUGUUUUUCUUUGCCUAUGGAAUGGGCUAUAGUAUUUCAAAUAUUAAUGUGCAUUUUCCUUACUUUCUAGAUGAUCACAUUUGUUGUCGUUGUUGUUGUUGUUGUUGUUGUUGUUUCUUCCAGAAGAGAUUUUCCCACAACCUAAAAUUAGUUCUGAAUCUACCCUUGCUUUGAGAAAACAAGGGUGGAGGGUGGGGACAUCACUGUGGAAUGUCAGAAAUGAAAGUCAGUACAUUUUGGUUUCUAAGUUCAAAAGCUGUUUAUGUCUCAUAAAGCAAAAAAUACCACAUAGGUAGAGACUGAGAAUGUCACAACCUUUCCUCACUCCCACAACCACCCUGGUAACAUUUUUACCUCCUUCCCAGGAAUAUGAACUCCAAAAGGAAGAAAGAUCAAGUAGAAAGAAAUGUAACUGAGCCAUUUUAAACAUGAAUUGAGAUAUAAUUGAAUUUGAUGAAGUUUGUCUUAGAUUAACAAGAUUGUUUUCUGCCUCAGGCAGGAUGGGGACUCAAGGUCAUAAAUUAAGAUGGACUUGUAGAAAAGUUCUACUUGGCUGGGCAUGGUGACUCAUGCCUGAAAUCCUAGCACUUUCGGAGGCCAAGAAAGGAGGCUCAUUUGAGGCCAGAAGUUCAAGACCAACCUGGGCAAUAUAGUGAGACCUCUAUCUCCACCAAAAAACACAAAAAUUAGCCAGACAUGGUGGCAUAUACUUGUGGUCCUAGAUGCUCAGGAGGAUGAGAUGGGAGGAUCACUUGAACCCAGGAGGCUAAGGAUGCAGCGAACUUUGAUCUUUUCACUGUACUCCAACCUGGGUGACAGAAAGAGACCCUCAUUAGGCCGGGCGCGGUGGGUCAAGCCUGUAAUCCCAGCACUUUGGGAGGCCGAGGCGGGUGGAUCACGAGGUCAAGAGAUCG
Long non-coding RNA from Saimiri boliviensis boliviensis (Bolivian squirrel monkey), 2844 nucleotides. NCBI's taxonomy places the organism in Eukaryota, Metazoa, Chordata, Mammalia, Primates, Cebidae. The record is from Ensembl.